UGUGCACGUGUUACAACAUUGUCUUCAAGAUACAAUGAAGUUCGAACUCUUGUUUCUUACUGUUCUUGUUUGCACAAACAGAACAGUCAGAAUAUCUACUUAAAUUGUAAAAGAGAAAAGAGAACCGAGAACCUCUAAGAUUUUGUUUCUGCAUAAUAACAAAAUCUUAGAAUAAAUGCUCAAAAUAAUAUGAAAUUAAUCUGUCUUUCUUCACUAUUUUUUUUGAUAUUUCUGAUCUCAAAAACGUUUUAAGGGGUGGU
This 260-nucleotide long non-coding RNA is filed under the name Actinidia chinensis (golden kiwifruit). RNAcentral's name for it is "long non-coding RNA (ACHI_LNC000803)". The record is from RNAcentral. Lineage: Eukaryota; Viridiplantae; Streptophyta; Magnoliopsida; Ericales; Actinidiaceae.